Molecule: long non-coding RNA, 301 nt
Filed under: Cyanistes caeruleus (blue tit)
Lineage: Eukaryota; Metazoa; Chordata; Aves; Passeriformes; Paridae
Description: lncRNA (ENSCCEG00000015848.1)
Source: RNAcentral
AAAAUUUGGAGUGAGCCCAUGGUCUUUAAAUUAUUGAUGUUGAAUCCAGUGACUUCAGCAUUAAUGUCUUUGGAUUUAAUUGUUCUGAAGACUGGAACUCACAACAGGAAGAUAAAUUAUUACAGUCUUGGUGCAGAUUUGCCUCCUUCCCUGAGAUGGAAAAUUUACACGAACUAGAAAAUUUAUGUGUGACUUCUCCUUAUUUUCUGGCGUGACUUCCCCCAAAUAUCCGGCAAACUGUGUGGUGGAACUCAUUUGAAGAUAUUGAUAGACAGUAACCGACAUUUAAUGUAAGUAUUGC